Molecule: long non-coding RNA, 1849 nt
Organism: Equus caballus (horse)
Lineage: Eukaryota; Metazoa; Chordata; Mammalia; Perissodactyla; Equidae
Source: Ensembl
GUGCGAGCCGGGCCGUGAGCGGGCUGGAGCCCGUGCAGGGCACACCGGCAGGCAAACAGGCGCUGCUGUUCCUGUUUUCCAGCCGCAGGGGAAGACCGGGGCUAUUUUUAGCUGCGGAACUUUAUAAUAGAGGUCUUUUAUUGCCAUUCAAGAGCUGUAGCAACCAAGGCACAGAGAUGUUGAGCAAGUUGUCCGAGGUCACAGAGAGGCCGGGUGGCAAAGCAGGAAUGGAAUUGAUCCUCCAUCUUCAAGAGUUGAUGCGUAGGAGCUUGGCCUGAAUUUUAACCACGGAAGCAUGAAAAGUGGCGGAUACCCCACUUUGGGACAUGGUAAGCAGGUACUAGAAGUCUGAAACUUCUUUGGGGAUCUCUGAAUUCUGGGACACCUUCCUAGGGCAGCUGGUCUCAUUCCAGUCAUCUCUCUGCCUAGUGCUCUUUUUCCCACUACAGAACAGGAAGUUUGAGAAGUGACAGGCCACAGGCACAGGCCAGCCCUGCUGAGAAAUCGCCAUCAGGAGCAAACCACAUGUCCUGUGAACUCGGGGACCUGCCAGCAAAAUUCCCUGAUGCUGGAACUUCGGGCAGAGAGCGCCGGUCUUGCGCUGAUUGGCGUCAGGAGCCAAGUGUGGUGGGGGAGGGGAGUCAGCACAUAUUUCUCCGCUGAACUCCGUUUCCCAUUUGGUUUGGCAGCUUGUUUUUCAUGAAAUGAGGCCAAUCCACGAAUUCCGUGUCAACAUCGCUCCUUUUACUGGAACCGCAAAGGCAGCCCCCCGGGACUGGCUCCAUCUCUGGGCAGACAUCAAAACAACCCCUUUUCGCUUUGAAAGCAUAGCAGGCGUCUCAGAGCCCCCCACUUCCUUACCUGUGUUUCCCUCUGAGGAAGAAAGCAAGGACCAGGGCCGUGGCUGCAGUGCCCCGAGCUCACUGUUGGCACAGCAGCCCUGGGCUGGCCACGCUGAGGGUUCUCCUGGCCCUGCUGCCUGUCUUCCCUUUCUUGUGCGUCCAAGGCCCGGAGGCUCCUUCCUGCCUGCUUGUCUCGCUUCCAGGACUAGCUUGAUGAGUAGGCAUGGCCUCCCCAGCCCCUCAGCUGUCACCCUGCCACAGCUGCCCUCCUGCUGCGACCUCAGGGGGUUGCAGAAGGUGCUGUGGCAUCCAAAAUCCACUCCCCAUCAGGGACUAGAGCCGAACUUCCGAGGCCUCCAGGGCUCCUCUGCUCUGGGGAGGGGGCCUCCUCUUAGCUGCUCCAACACCUGCUGCCCAGCGGGGUGGGGCCGGUGUGCAGGUAGGAGCAAGCAGGCACAUUUGGGAAGGAGAAUAAUAGUGGGUAGUGAGUAGCGGACAGUCAGAAGUGGCUUUAUUGGCAACUGGUACGUACUGAUGGGCACGUCAGCAGCAAGGUUCACUGCAUACGAGGUUGUCUGCAUGAGAGAGGAGGUGGGAGAAAGGCUGUCCUGGGGCAUGGGGUGACCUGGCUCCAGGUCACCUUUCUCUAGGAAGGUCCUGCUCUGUGUCCUCUCGACACCCUGUGCUUCUCUUGUGGCUGCAGCCCCUGUCACGGCCUCUGCACGCUCCUGUCUUCCCAGCUGCUGUCUUCCUCCCCAUCUCCUCCCAGGACCCAGCACCCUUGCGCAUAUGGUGAGGUCAGCGACCCCCUCCACUGUGUCAAGUGAGUGAAUGACUACUGGCUGCUCCUUGCAGUGCUGGGGAGACGAUGCAAGGGGCGGUGGGGUUGUCACGGCUCUAUCCCAAGGGGAGGUCCUGAGGCACCAACAGCGUAGCAGUUUUGCAGUGUGCCCGGAGUGUGAGUCUGGGCUCCAUGACUUACUAGCUGUGUGCUGGACAAGCUGUUU